Long non-coding RNA from Peromyscus californicus insignis, 4068 nucleotides. RefSeq lists it as uncharacterized. The transcript has 5 exons. Lineage: Eukaryota; Metazoa; Chordata; Mammalia; Rodentia; Cricetidae. The record is from RefSeq and is a predicted model, not a curated record.
CAAUUGAUAGUCAUAACGGCAGUAGAAGCCAUGAGGUCACCCUUUGCUCUGGGUGAGCACUGUGUGAAUUCAGUUUCAUUGUAGAAAAUUGAUGUGGCAAGGAUUUUAUUUGCCGUUUACAAUCACGAUCAAGAGGAACGGCCUCGUGGUUCAGCAGCAUUGAUGGAUGCCCCCUUUGGAUUGUUUGGACUCUGGACACGGGAAAGAGGCCUUCUGGGAAUCAGCCGGUGUUAUCGCAUUUCAGGAGCAGGAACAAGGGGAGAGGCAGAAUUUCACGGAGACCUCUUCGGUCACAUCCUCUGGUCACAUCUGGCUGUGGUGGAGGAGGGCUAUAGGCUAUGUGUUCCCUUCCCAGUACUAGGAAUGGGCUUCAGGUGCUUGCACACACAGGUGAGUCCUAGGAGGAGAGGCCAUGCCCCUGAGAGGAGACAGAAGUCGGGUAAAACUGCCGCAGUGGGGCAAACCGGCUUGAUUGAGUCUGGCUGGGUGGGGCUGGCGAGAUGCAGUGAUGCAGAGAGGCCACGAGAGGGCGCCCAAGCACCGUCAUUCGGCCACUGAAGGCUGAGCAGCCGCUGCAGGGCCUGAGGCUGACCUGCCUGCCAGUGUUGACAGGACCCUGACAAGACUCGGAUGACCCCAAAGUUGAGCACGCCUCGGCCUGCCGGGGUCUGGGCCAAUCUCUUGAUCAAAUCCUGAUCUUCAUCUAAGCUGGUGCUGUGGAGUUGCCUGCUCCCUGCCGGCAUGCAAUGAAGACAUUUUAGGCAGAAGAGACCUCACUGGGAAUAGUCUAAGGACAUUGUCCGGGCAGAGGCCCAGUAGCUGCUGCAGGAGAUGCAAGAAGCCAAGGGAGCAGCCUCCUGUUGGAGGAAGGGCAUGAUGGCAACCACAAGAGGACGUGGGACUCGUACCUGCAAUCCAGAGGACUCACGAUGAACACAGGAAGGAAAUAGAAAAUGCCAUGAACAAGAAAAUUCCACAAUGAGACUAAGACACAAGACCCUGGUAACGACAGCAAAAGUGACGACUUAAACUGACCACUCAGAAGAGGUUCAUGUGUUGAAGAACCAUCCUACACCAGUGUGACUUUACAGUUAAAACCUACAGCUAAAAACACAGGGCCUUGGGGGUAAAGUGCUUGCCUAACGAGUGUGGAGACCCCAGUUCAAAUCCUCAGAGCCUGCACAGAGCUGGGUGUGGUAACCUGUGUCUGUAACCCCAAUGCUCCUAAGGUAAUGACAGGAUCCCCGGAAACGUGCACCCCGACUAUCCUGGUGUGCGCCGUUGUGAAGGCGGAGGUGAGGACUGACACCUGAGGGUGUCCUUUGACCUCCACGUGUGCCGGUGUCAUGUGUGUGUCCGCCUCUGAGGCUUUUGGAGGUACGGAAGGACCUUGACCCACUUUCCCUGCACUCCAGAUGCCUCCUGGUCCGGUAGCGCACACAGUGAUGUAACGGACACUAGGGGGCGUCUAAGCUCCACGCUCCGGGGACCCGGCAGGUGCACAGGCUGCUGAGGCCCCACAAGUUCACCUGCCGGUGUGACCCGAUGGCCCUGACAAGCCCUACAGCUGUGCCUGGCCACAGUGGUACCCUGGUUGGCAAGAGGUCUCUCACCAGCCCUUAGAAACCCAACAAGUCCUGGAGAUACAAUGCAGGAUUUGCCAGCCCAAGUCACAAGACAUUCUCCAGGGACAUUAUGCCAACAUGGAGUUGCUCAAGGCCAACAGUGUGUCAUCAAGGCCAAGAAGCAUGGACAUGGGGACAGGGAAUUCAGGCUGCAGCUGUCCAUCCAUGGCUAUGAGCGUCCUAGGUUCUGGCAGUGCCUCAUGGAUCACUUGGCAGGUGAAUUUUUUAUUCUGUGCCCAGUGUGCCUUCGUGACCUCUAGGCGGCUGAAGAUGAAGAAGCCUUGACCAGGGCCGUUGGACUUCAGAGGUGCUGUGGUUCUGUGCUGUGUGUUUGGGAUCAGCAUCUCAUCUUGCAGCCACUGCACUGAGAUAUCCUCAGGGAAGAAGUUCUGGAUCAGGCAGGACUCAGAGGCCAUGGGCCCAAACCCGUGCACAAGUGUCUGGGUGAGUUGCUAGGCCUUGAUCUCAGCUCCAGGAGGAUAACUAGUGUCCUGAGACACCCUACAUUAGAGGGUGGCCCAGGUAUUGAACCAUUUCCUCUCCUUAUCAGCUCCUGAGGAACUUGGAGGACCAUCAUCUCCCCUCUAAAGCAUAAGGAUGCACUCAUGAUCUGCCUGACUCCCAGGAUCACAUGUGUGGUGGUGGACAUUAGCCAGGAUGACUCCAAGGUCCAUUUCAGUUGUUAGUUCAUGGAUGAAGUGGAGGUGCAUACAACUCAGACACAGCUCCCAAAGGAGUGGUACAGCAGCACCUUCUGUGUGGUUAGUGUCCUCCUCAUUUUGCAUCAGGACUGGCUGGAGGGUAAGGAGUUCAAGUACAAGACCAACAACACGGCCCUCCCAGCUCCCAUUGAGAAAACCAUUUCUAAAUCCAAAGAUGGCAACAGGUGGGAUGGACUGCGUGGAGUGUGAUGGACAUUCAGGCAGAGCUGGAGUAGACUGCCCUCCACCUUGACAGUGACAUACGUGUUGUUACCUGCCCUCACAGGGGGCUGGCCUUGUGCUUAUACUAUGCUUCCACCCAAUAGGAACAGAUAACUAAGAACAGGGUCAUCUGAUACACACGGGGCAUGUAUGACUUCCAGCUGCGGUAUAGCAAUGGGAAAUGAGAUCAGAAACUAUCAGAGCACCUAUCUCAUCCUGGGCUCCAACGAGCCCUUACUCCUCUACAGCAAGCUCCUGUGCAUAAGAACAGCAGCAGAAGGGAACUAUUUACUCUGUGCCAUAACAGGCUCUACACAACUACCACACAGGGAAGACCCUCUCUUAUUUCCCGGAUAAAUGAAUGCAUCGCUCACCCUUGGGUCCUAGGGGACAUUGACAUCUGCCAUUACCUAGAGCAUAUAGGUCUACCUGGCCAUGUUGAAGUCAUCUCUCACAGGGGAGGGGGAUUGAUCUUAACUAAUUGCUUCUUCGGCCCUCUCUCCACCUGGCUGCUGCUCAGCACUGUGAUGGGAUCCUCUUUAGCAAUCCCCCAAGAGAAGGAACACACUAACCCCGCUACUGCCAGCCUGUCCUUGUUCCUCUUCUGAUCAACUUUUCUUUUUAUUCUGUGAUCUUGCAGAGGCAUGUCUAGCCAUGUAUAUACAGACUGACCUUUAAACUUAACAUACCCAACACAGUCAGCUCUGCCUGACUGCUGGGGCUAGGCUGUCUGCCUGGUGGGACAUUGCCCAUCCAGGGGAUACUCAGUCUUUGGCCUCUAAGGGAUUGAGGUUGCCUCAAGGGAGGAACUGUCCAGAUACAUGGAUGUGGGAGUUAGACCCAUUAGAACCUGCCUGGUGACUAUCACUCAUCCCACAUGGCACUUGCACAGAUGUGUACAGUAAUGUGCAUGGGCACAUACACAAGCCUUGCACACUCAUGAACACCCUGUACAGUGUUCAGAUCCAUCAAGGUAUCAGGCCCUCUCUCAGGCUCCUUUUCAGCAUUCACAUAUGGGUUAGCUGAGACAGAUGCAACCGCAUCCUCACCAGCCCCACAACACACGGUCUCUCAUGUCAAUCUGUCCCUGUACCGUCAGGCCCACGCUUCCAUUUCACAGAGAUGACAGUCUGGUGGAAGCCAUGCUGUCACCCCUGGGAAUGGUGCAUAAAUGUUUUGCAAAUGGAGCUCCUUAUGUAAGGCCACUUCCACUGGUAGGGACCGGUGGAAGCCGUGUUGCAGGCCCAUGCACUGAUCCUAGAGCUCAUGGCCUCCAGGCCUCUCUCACUUUCACUGUGCUUAUUCUUACGGUAACUCUUAGUGUUGCUUUGCCAGUUGGGAUUGUGGCUGAGUUUACUGGGAACAAAAGCUGAUAAUUUCUCUAAAAGUUUCUACAAAGAAAUUAAGCCUCUCUGCAGUCUAUCACAGAAACCAGUUUCUCCGGUCGCCCCUGACUGCCUGUGCGGUCAUUCUGAGUAAGCACGAGGAACUCACUAAGGUUAAUGAUUCUUGCUUACAUA